RNAcentral lists this unclassified non-coding RNA (352 nucleotides) under soil metagenome. RNAcentral's name for it is "partial contains 5.8S ribosomal RNA, internal transcribed spacer 2, and large subunit ribosomal RNA". The stretch from base 1 to 120 matches the Rfam family "5.8S ribosomal RNA", at positions 35 to 154 of the family's 154-position model. The record is from RNAcentral.
GAUGAAGAACGUAGCGAAAUGCGAUAAGUAAUGUGAAUUGCAGAAUUCAGUGAAUCAUCGAAUCUUUGAACGCACAUUGCGCCCGCCAGUAUUCUGGCGGGCAUGCCUGUUCGAGCGUCAUUUCAACCCUCAGGCCCCCAGUGCCUGGUGUUGGGGAUCGGCCCAGCCUUCCUGUAAGGCCGCCGGCCCCGAAAUCUAGUGGCGGUCUCGCUGUAGUCCUCCUCUGCGUAGUAGCACAACCUCGCAGUUGGAACGCGGCGGUGGCCAUGCUGUUAAACACCCCACUUCUGAAAGUUGACCUCGGAUCAGGUAGGAAUACCCGCUGAACUUAAGCAUAUCAAUAAGCGGAGGA